GCGGGAGUGGCGGAAUUGGCAGACGCGCUAGACUUAGGAUCUAGUGGGCAUUGCUCGUGGGGGUUCAAAUCCCUUCUCCCGCACCA
Molecule: transfer RNA, 86 nt
Filed under: Clostridia bacterium
Lineage: Bacteria; Bacillati; Bacillota; Clostridia
Description: tRNA-Leu
Rfam family: tRNA
About the family: Transfer RNA (tRNA) molecules are approximately 80 nucleotides in length. Their secondary structure includes four short double-helical elements and three loops (D, anti-codon, and T loops).
Source: RNAcentral